AUUUUUCGCUGGCGGCAGGCCUAACACAUGCAAGUCGAGCGGUAGAGAGAAGCUUGCUUCUCUUGAGAGCGGCGGACGGGUGAGUAAUGCCUAGGAAUCUGCCUGGUAGUGGGGGAUAACGUUCGGAAACGGACGCUAAUACCGCAUACGUCCUACGGGAGAAAGCAGGGGACCUUCGGGCCUUGCGCUAUCAGAUGAGCCUAGGUCGGAUUAGCUAGUUGGUGAGGUAAUGGCUCACCAAGGCGACGAUCCGUAACUGGUCUGAGAGGAUGAUCAGUCACACUGGAACUGAGACACGGUCCAGACUCCUACGGGAGGCAGCAGUGGGGAAUAUUGGACAAUGGGCGAAAGCCUGAUCCAGCCAUGCCGCGUGUGUGAAGAAGGUCUUCGGAUUGUAAAGCACUUUAAGUUGGGAGGAAAGGCAGUAAAUUAAUACUUUGCUGUUUUGACGUUACCGACAGAAUAAGCACCGGCUAACUCUGUGCCAGCAGCCGCGGUAAUACAGAGGGUGCAAGCGUUUAAUCGGAAUUACUGGGCGUAAAGCGCGCGUAAGUGGUUUGUUUAGUUGGAUGUGAAAUCCCCGGGCUCCACCUGGGAACUGCAUUCAAAACUGACUGACUUAAGUAUGGGAGAGGGUGGUGGGAAUUUCCUGUGGUACGGGGAAAAGCGUAGAUAUAGGGAAGGACACCCGUUGGGGAAGGGGACCCCCUGGGAUUAAUACUGGACACUGAGGGGCGAAAAGCGUGGGGGGCAAAAAGGGAUUAAAACCCGGGUAGUCCCGCCCCUAACGAUGUCAACUAGCCGUUGGAAGCCUUGAGCUUUUAGUGGCGCAGCUAACGCAUUAAGUUGACCGCCUGGGGAGUACGCCCGCAAGGUUAAAACUCAAAUGAAUUGACGGGGGGCCCGCACAAGCGGUGGAGCAUGUGGUUUAAUUCGAAGCAACGCGAAGAACCUUACCAGGCCUUGACAUCCAAUGAACUUUCUAGAGAUAGAUUGGUGCCUUCGGGAACAUUGAGACAGGUGCUGCAUGGCUGUCGUCAGCUCGUGUCGUGAGAUGUUGGGUUAAGUCCCGUAACGAGCGCAACCCUUGUCCUUAGUUACCAGCACGUAAUGGUGGGCACUCUAAGGAGACUGCCGGUGACAAACCGGAGGAAGGUGGGGAUGACGUCAAGUCAUCAUGGCCCUUACGGCCUGGGCUACACACGUGCUACAAUGGUCGGUACAGAGGGUUGCCAAGCCGCGAGGUGGAGCUAAUCCCACAAAACCGAUCGUAGUCCGGAUCGCAGUCUGCAACUCGACUGCGUGAAGUCGGAAUCGCUAGUAAUCGCGAAUCAGAAUGUCGCGGUGAAUACGUUCCCGGGCCU
RNAcentral lists this ribosomal RNA (1364 nucleotides) under uncultured bacterium. Its description in RNAcentral is "bacterial SSU rRNA". It matches the Rfam family "Bacterial small subunit ribosomal RNA", at positions 28 to 1381 of the family's 1533-position model. The record is from RNAcentral.